RNAcentral lists this ribosomal RNA (426 nucleotides) under uncultured bacterium. Its description in RNAcentral is "partial 16S ribosomal RNA". It matches the Rfam family "Bacterial small subunit ribosomal RNA", at positions 354 to 796 of the family's 1533-position model. The record is from RNAcentral.
GUGAGGAAUUUUCCGCAAUGGGCGAAAGCCUGACGGAGCAAUGCCGCGUGAAGGAUGAAGGCCUAUGGGUUGUAAACUUCUUUUCUUAGAGAAGAAUAUUGACGGUAUCUGAGGAAUAAGCAUCGGCUAACUCUGUGCCAGCAGCCGCGGUAAGACAGAGGAUGCAAGCGUUAUCCGGAAUGAUUGGGCGUAAAGCGUCUGUAGGUGGCUUCAACAGUCUCCUGUCAAAGAUCAGGGCUUAACCCUGGGCCGGCAGGAGAAACUGUGAGGCUAGAGUUUGGUAGGGGCAGAGGGAAUGCCCGGUGGAGCGGUGAAAUGCGUAGAGAUCGGGAGGAACACCAAAGGCGAAAGCACUCUGCUGGGCCACAACUGACACUGAGAGACGAAAGCGAGGGGAGCAAAAGGGAUUAGAAACCCGUGUAGUCC